This 468-nucleotide ribosomal RNA is filed under the name uncultured bacterium. Its description in RNAcentral is "partial 16S ribosomal RNA". It matches the Rfam family "Bacterial small subunit ribosomal RNA", at positions 28 to 507 of the family's 1533-position model. The record is from RNAcentral.
GACGAACGCUGGCGGCGUGCUUAACACAUGCAAGUCGAACGGAAAGGCCCUGCUUUUGUGGGGUGCUCGAGUGGCGAACGGGUGAGUAACACGUGAGUAACCUGCCCUUGACUUUGGGAUAACUUCAGGGAACUGGGGCUAAUACCGGAUAGGAGCUCCUGCUGCAUGGUGGGGGUUGGAAAGUUUCGGCGGGUGGGGAUGGCCUCGCGGCUUAUCAGCUUGUUGGUGGGGUAGUGGCUUACCAAGGCUUUGACGGGUAGCCGGCCUGAGAGGGUGACCGGCCAAAUUGGGACUGAGAUCCGGCCCAGACUCCUCCGGGAGGCAGCAGGGGGGAAUAUUGCACAAUGGGCGGAAGCCUGAUGAAGCAACGCCGCGUGCGGGAUGACGGCCUUCGGGUUGUAAACCGCUUUCGCCUGUGACGAAGCGUGAGUGACGGUAAUGGGUAAAGAAGCACCGGCUAACUACGUG